GCCACUCAAAAAAAACCUAGAGAAUUUCAAGAUCUUGGUUUUAAACUGCUGAAAAACACUAGUCUUAAAGAAAAAAGUGAACUCCGGUAAUGUCUACUGGGCUCCCCGGAGUGCCGUUGGUUCCGCCGUUGCCGUUUCCUCCGGCGGAUAAUGCAACUACUCCAACAUCUCCGGUGAACCCAAGUACUACUCCUCCGUCUCCAGAUGUUGCUAGUCAGCCUUCUCCGGCGACCUUGUUAAAUCCGCCGCCCUCAUCGAUUAAUGGAAGCUCUCCCACGAGUGCUCCGUCGAAUGGGUCAUCGAAUAGUACAACUUUAGUAGCACUUGGAGUUGGAAUUGGGAUUGGAGGAGCACUUGUGCUUAUAUGUGUGUGCAUUUUUGCACUUUGGUAUAAGAGGAGAAAAAGGCGUCUUGGGCUAAAUGGUUUUGGUCAUGAUCCAUCACAAGCUCCCAAAGAUAAUUUGUUUGGUGGUCAACA
Molecule: unclassified non-coding RNA, 478 nt
Filed under: Hevea brasiliensis (rubber tree)
Lineage: Eukaryota; Viridiplantae; Streptophyta; Magnoliopsida; Malpighiales; Euphorbiaceae
Source: RNAcentral